GAUGAACGCUGGCGGCGUGCUUAACACAUGCAAGUCGAACGGAAAGGCCCAAGCUUGCUUGGGUCCUCGAGUGGCGAACGGGUGAGUAACACGUGGGUGAUCUGCCCCGCACUUCGGGAUAAGCCUGGGAAACUGGGUCUAAUACCGGAUAGGACCACUUCUUGGAGGUUGUGGUGGAAAGUUUUUUCGGUGUGGGAUGAGCUCGCGGCCUAUCAGCUUGUUGGUGGGGUAAUGGCCUACCAAGGCGUCGACGGGUAGCCGGCCUGAGAGGGUGUACGGCCACAUUGGGACUGAGAUACGGCCCAGACUCCUACGGGAGGCAGCAGUGGGGAAUAUUGCACAAUGGGCGCAAGCCUGAUGCAGCGACGCCGCGUGGGGGAUGACGGCCUUCGGGUUGUAAACUCCUUUCGCUAGGGACGAAGCGCAAGUGACGGUACCUAGAGAAGAAGCACCGGCUAACUACGUG
This 466-nucleotide ribosomal RNA is filed under the name uncultured bacterium. Its description in RNAcentral is "partial 16S ribosomal RNA". It matches the Rfam family "Bacterial small subunit ribosomal RNA", at positions 28 to 507 of the family's 1533-position model. The record is from RNAcentral.